RNAcentral lists this ribosomal RNA (707 nucleotides) under uncultured Providencia sp. RNAcentral's name for it is "bacterial SSU rRNA". It matches the Rfam family "Bacterial small subunit ribosomal RNA", at positions 794 to 1502 of the family's 1533-position model. The record is from RNAcentral. Lineage: Bacteria; Pseudomonadati; Pseudomonadota; Gammaproteobacteria; Enterobacterales; Morganellaceae.
UCCACGCUGUAAACGAUGUCGAUUUGGAGUUUGUUGCCUAGAGUGAUGGGCUCCGAAGCUAACGCGAUAAAUCGACCGCUGGGGAGUACGGCCGCAAGGUUAAAACUCAAAUGAAUUGACGGGGGCCCGCACAAGCGGUGGAGCAUGUGGUUUAAUUCGAUGCAACGCGAAGAACCUUACCUGGUCUUGACAUCCAUAGAAUUCUGCAGAGAUGUGGGAGUGCCUUCGGGAACUAUGAGACAGGUGCUGCAUGGCUGUCGUCAGCUCGUGUUGUGAAAUGUUGGGUUAAGUCCCGCAACGAGCGCAACCCUUAUUCUUUAUUGCCAGCGAUUUAGUCGGGAACUCAAAGGAGACUGCCGUUGAUAAAGCGGAGGAGGGUGGGGACGACGUCAAGUCAUCAUGGCCCUUACGACCAGGGCUACACACGUGCUACAAUGGCGUAUACAAAGGGAAGCGAAGGUGCGAGCUGGAGCGGAUCUCAUAAAGUACGUCUAAGUUCGGAUUGGAGUCUGCAACUCGACUCCAUGAAGUCGGAAUCGCUAGUAAUCGUAGAUCAGAAUGCUACGGUGAAUACGUUCCCGGGCCUUGUACACACCGCCCGUCACACCAUGGGAGUGGGUUGCACCAGAAGUAGAUAGCUUAACCGCGAGGGGGGCGUUUACCACGGUGUGAUUCAUGACUGGGGUGAAGUCGUAACAAGGUAACCA